Molecule: ribosomal RNA, 387 nt
Filed under: uncultured Desulfuromonas sp.
Lineage: Bacteria; Pseudomonadati; Thermodesulfobacteriota; Desulfuromonadia; Desulfuromonadales; Desulfuromonadaceae
Description: bacterial SSU rRNA
Rfam family: Bacterial small subunit ribosomal RNA
Source: RNAcentral
UCGCACCUUUUGGAACUUAAGGUCAGUUCGGCUGGAUCGGUGACAGGUGCUGCAUGGCUGUCGUCAGCUCGUGUCGUGAGAUGUUGGGUUAAGUCCCGCAACGAGCGCAACCCUCGCCUUAGUUGCCAGCAUUCAGUUGGGCACUCUAAGGAGACUGCCGGUGUUAAACCGGAGGAAGGCGGGGAUGACGUCAAGUCCUCAUGGCCCUUAUGUCCAGGGCUACACACGUGCUACAAUGGCCGGUACAAAGGGUAGCAAGACCGCGAGGUGGAGCCAACCCCAAAAGCCGGUCUCAGUUCGGAUUGGAGUCUGCAACUCGACUCCAUGAAGUUGGAAUCGCUAGUAAUCGUGGAUCAGCAUGCCACGGUGAAUACGUUCCCGGGCCUU